This 497-nucleotide ribosomal RNA is filed under the name uncultured bacterium. RNAcentral describes it as "partial 16S ribosomal RNA". It matches the Rfam family "Bacterial small subunit ribosomal RNA", at positions 28 to 507 of the family's 1533-position model. The record is from RNAcentral.
GACGAACGCUGGCGGCGUGCCUAAUACAUGCAAGUUGAGCGCUGAAGGUUGGUACUUGUACCAACUGGAUGAGCAGCGAACGGGUGAGUAACGCGUGGGUAAUCUGCCUUUGAGCGGGGGACAACAUUUGGAAACGAAUGCUAAUACCGCAUAAAAACUUUAAACACAAGUUUUAAGUUUGAAAGAUGCAAUUGCAUCACUCAAAGAUGAUCCCGCGUUGUAUUAGCUAGUUGGGUAGGUAAAGGCCCACCAAGGCGAUGAUACAUAGCCGACCUGAGAGGGUGGAUCGCCCCAAUGGGAAUGAGACACCGCUCAAGAUCCUACGGGAGGCAGCAGUAGGGGAUCUUCGGCAAUGGAGCGAAGUCUGACCGAGCCAAGCCGGGUGAGUGAAGAAGGUUUUCGGAUCGUAAAACUCUGUUGGUAGAGAAGAAAGUUGGUGAGAGUGGAAAGCUCAUCAAGUGACGGUAACUACCCAGAAAGGGACGGCUAACUACGUG